UAUGUAGGUCAAGCUAAGACUUUACCAGAAUCGCUGAGAGGAGGUGCAUGGCCGUCGUCAGUUCGUACUGUGAAGCAUCCUGUUAAGUCAGGCAACGAGCGAGACCCGUGCCCACUGUUGCCAGCAUGUCCUUCGGGAUGAUGGGUACUCUGUGGGACGCCGAUGCUAAAUCGGAGGAAGGUGCGGGCUACGGUAGGUCAGUAUGCCCCGAAUCUCCCGGGCUACACGCGGGCUACAAUGGGUGGGACAAUGGGUAUCGACACCGAAAGGUGAAGGCAAUCUCCUAAACCCAUCCGUAGUUCGGAUUGUGGGCUGCAACUCGCCCACAUGAAGCUGGAAUCUGUAGUAAUCGUGUCUCAAAAUGGCACGGUGAAUGUGUCCCUGCUCCUU
Molecule: ribosomal RNA, 390 nt
Filed under: uncultured Methanococcoides sp.
Lineage: Archaea; Methanobacteriati; Methanobacteriota; Methanomicrobia; Methanosarcinales; Methanosarcinaceae
Description: bacterial SSU rRNA
Rfam family: Archaeal small subunit ribosomal RNA
Source: RNAcentral